GGGGGUGUAGCUCAGUGGUAGAGCACUUGUCUAGCAUGCAUGAGGCUCUGGGUUCCAUUCCUAUCACUUCUA
Non-coding RNA from Ictidomys tridecemlineatus (thirteen-lined ground squirrel), 72 nucleotides. The record is from Rfam. Lineage: Eukaryota; Metazoa; Chordata; Mammalia; Rodentia; Sciuridae.